AAUUUUAAGAUUUAAUAAUGUGAAUAACAUCAACAACAAUUAAUCAUCCACUAGAGGGCAAAGAAAGAGAAGUAAGUAAAGUGUUAUAAUAGACGUCGAUAAUGACAAUUAGAUAAUCGUAAAAUUAGAAAAAUAAGAAUACACAGAUUUUACGUGGAAACCCUUUUGGGUAAAAAUUACGGGCAGAGGAGAAAUUCACCUAUGUUGAAAAAUGAAUGAUACAAGAAGAGUUUCGACUACAUCUAUUUAAAGAUUGAAAACCUCUUUUCUAAUCAAUGCCAAAUAGAAGAGAUGUAGUUCUUUGCAGAUUCUACUUGUGCGGCAUGGUCCCCUUAUUCAAACCUUCGGCCCUCGACUUUUCGCUCCCACAGAUCCCCUUAUUUUACCGAUAUAUUUUAUUUUUUUAACAAAUGAUGAGAUUCAAUUCACAUAACUCGAUCAUAAAUCAAACUAUUUAUUGAAGAAAGAGAUAUUAUUUACAUGCUUUAAUUCGUAGAAAUCUCUAUUAAUUAACCUAUAUGGGGAUGAUCACAUGUACCUUUUUGUCUCCCCUUCCAACAUGAGGUAACUAUAAAUCCUUCAAUGGCACAGAAUAGCAUGUGCUCACACUCUGCCUUUUCACGUGCAAUCACUUCACAUUUUGCUCUAAAAUUUCCCCAAUACACAAUCAAAUAUUCAACUGUAUCAUCUACCAUCUUUACUUCACAAAACCAAAUAAUUCUCACUGCUUUUUAAUUGUGAGUGCUACUUGAUUUAUUUCUAGGGUAAAAAUUCUCAUUCUCCUCAUCAAAGAAAGAAAACUAAAAUAAAAGCUUAUCUAACAUUCAGCAUUUUAUUUUAAAGUGAACAUAUAUAAUGCAUUCUAUGAGUCUAAAUAAAAUAAAGAAAAGGGAGAAGCUUAUACAUAUAUAUGCCUUUUGUCUGUUUAGUAUCUCGAAAUCAUAAGCUAACCUUUAGGAACUAAAAUUUCAAAAUUUGGAUUUAAAUUUUAAAAAUAAUGUGACUUCAACAUCAUGAUUAUUUCUUAUGAUUUAUCUCUCGUCACUGUUGAUAUUAGGGAAAAAUAAGUUGAAAAAGUAAAAGGAAGAAAAUGAAGACGUAAGUUACAGGUAUGUGUAUAUGUCUAAGCUCUAAUGAUUAAACAGAGAUAUAGAAAUAAGAUUUCUACUUCUUACCUUUCUCUGGACAUUCAAGCAUGCUCUCAAGUAUGGAGGAAAAUAUGUUGUGAGAGAAACAAAGAUGAAGGCGAAGAGAAAAGAAGCAAGAAAAAGAAAAUGAGAGAAAGGGGGCAAAGAGUGCUUAAAAGGCAAGAUAUACAUGUUCUCCAUUAUUUAUCUAUAGAAUAAGAUUUAUGUUACAAUCUAAAGCUUGAGAAUCUAAAUCCAUGAACUCAAUUUGGUUGCCUUCAUUUUAUUUUAUUUAACAUGAUGUACGAGGAUUCAUUUAAUUUAAUUUGUUGGUCCACAAACAACUAGAAAAUUGCUCCGUUCUCUCCAUGAAAAUAAAAAAUAAAAAAAAGACACAUCAACAACAAAAUAAAAUAAAAACCACUGAUAUUUAUAAAUUAUUAAAAACAUUUUCUCCAUUAUACUUACAGAGAUGAUCAGCUCCCGAAGGCUUCGCAGCAGUCACUAAUUACACUGCAGCAACUCAAAGCAUUGAAAAACCAAUCAAGGCAACCAGACUUUGCAGGUGGAGCAGCAUACCGUGAAGGUGGUUCCAUCACGGGGGGAUAACCUUGAGCAGGGUUAGGAUAAGGAUACUUGGGAUCACUCAUAUUUGGAAACUAACUGACAAGUGAUUCAGUGUCGAUGGAAAAAAAAUGCUUUAUAGUCGGCAAGGGCCCCCCUUCGGCCUUCAGGGCCAAACUAUAGCUAGAUUAAUAGAGAUGGGUAGCUUCCGCACUUUUUCCAGCGUUAAUAUAUAAGGUGCCUUUCACUUUCUGGAUGUAGUGAUUCAUCACAUGGCACUUUUUCCACCAGGGACUUGGUUGCUUUAUCUGGUUUGUUCUCUGUCCUACCAUUACACUUGUUUGUUUGGUUCUGACAUUUCAAUUUUCUUUUGAAGUGUCUAUAUCUAGUAUCCGUGUUGAACUCAUAUGUAAACACAUGACCCUUAAAGAAACAUAUAUGAACACACCAGUAUCUGACUAACAUUAAUUCUAAAAAUUGGAAUUCGAUCCUGACAGCCUCAAGUGUAAAUUGUGCAGGGGCACACACAAUUGGACAAGCGAGAUGCACGUCAUUCAGGGCUCGCAUAUACAAUGAGAGCAACAUUGACGCUUCCUUCGCUCAAACAAGGCAAAGAAACUGCCCAAGAACAACAGGCUCAGGGGACAACAACUUGGCACCUCUUGAUAUCCAAACUCCAACAUCUUUUGACAACAACUACUUCAAGAACCUAGUCAGUCAAAGAGGACUUCUCCACUCUGAUCAACAGUUGUUCAAUGGUGGAUCCACGGAUUCCAUCGUUCGCGGUUACGGUAACAGCCCAAGCUCCUUCAAUUCGGAUUUUGUGGCUGCCAUGAUCAAGAUGGGAGACAUUAGUCCCCUCACUGGAUCACGUGGGGAGAUCAGGAAGAACUGCAGAAGGGUGAACUAAUUUGUGCAUUUGCCUAUGGAAACUAAACUAUAAGAAAAUAAAAGCAGUGGAAAUUUUGUUUCCUUAAAUGGUUGUUUGUUUGUAUCAGUUAAGAUUAUGAAGUAGGAGUUGUGUGUAUUUGAUGUUUAAUUUCUUCCAAAUUGUUCAAGGGCUUAGGUCAUGUUUCUGAGAAAGUAAUAGCAUUAGAAGUACCCUAUUUCUCUCAGUACUAUUGUGGUGUGGAAUCUUAUUUAUGCAGCUUUUAAUCCAAGCCCAUUCUCACUAAAUGCAAAUCACGACCCAUAUUUAACCCGCUCAAAUUGGAUUAAACUAUUUUAUCAAUUUGCUUUUAAACUUAUCCAAAGAAAAAUUUGGAGUUCAUCUUAAAUGUGUCAGAGUAAGAAUAUAACAUACAGUAUUUGGAACAAUAGUUUUAAGUAAAUUUAGCAAUGCCAAAAUCAGUGCCAACACCUUCAGGUACUGAUCAACAAUAACAAUAAACACACUAUAUGUUUAUGUAGUUCGGUUUUUCUAUGUUUACAGGAUUUUACCUAAAGAAAUAAUUCACAUCUUAGCACCUCAUACAAUAAAUUAUUACAAAUUUAAAUACUCACCAAAUUAAAAUCUCACUUUUACAUCUAAGAUUUUCUAAUUUUUAAAAGGGUUUUCUUUUCUAAUUUCUAAUUUAUUUUAAGAUGAUGUAUAUCUAAGGGAAUUACUCACAUAUAGUUUCGGUAUUCUUAAUUGACCCAUACACUAAAAUUAUAUAUGUACAUAUCUGUAUAAGGGAUUGAUCUUUAUGUUGGCUCGCAACUGAACUUAAAAUUCAUAUUCAAUUAAAAUAGUUAAAAUAAAUUUAAUUUAGCAUAAUGAAUUAUUUCGCCCCCCAAAUUUAUAAAAAAAAAGUUAUUUUAGUUUUUCAUUUAAUUUUUUCUCUUUUAGUUAUUGAAUUUGUAUUGUUUGUCAAAUCACCUAAAAAUAGAUGAAAAAGUUAAUCUAUUAACUUUACAGACAUGGAAUACAUGUGGAAGUCCAAGUGUAUGUCAAGUUAGAAAUUAAAUAAUUUUAAGAAAAUUAAAAAAUAUUUUAAAAUAUAUAUUUUUAUAACAUUUUAAUGAUUUUUAAAAUUUUAAUUUUUUUUGAAGUUUUUGUAUUUAAAAAAUUAUUUAAUUGCUAAUGUGGUGGCAUUUACGUGGCGAUCCAUAUGUAUGUCACAUCAGCAAAGUUAACAACUGUUAAAUUUUUAUUCAUUUUUAGGGUGAUUUGACAAAUUAUGCAAGUUAAAGGGCUAAAAGAAGCAAAAAAUUAAAUGGAGGGCUAAAAUGACUUUUUUUGUAAAGUUUAAAAGUCAAAUAAAUCAUUAUACCAUUUCAUUUUCAUAAAUAAUCAAAUAUUAAUAUUACUAUAAUCUAAAGAUAAAAAUUAUAAAAUAAAAUACCCAGCGAAAGCAGGGGAUAAGUCUAGAUAGGCUUAAAACCAUCUUGUAAUUUCUCAAAAUGUCCCCAAAAUUCAAAAUUUAAUAGAUGUGAAUAACACACUUAAAUUGUAUUUAUUUCAAUUACCAUGAAUUUUUUAAACAAUUUUCUUUUUAAGUAGUAAUAAAUUUUUUUAAGUGUAAAAAAAUAAAAUAAUAAUUAAAUUACACAACUUUAAUUUCUUUGAAGUCACAACUUUAAAUUUAUAAAUAAUAAUUUUUUUUGAAACUUUAAACACUAUUAAAAAUUUAAACAAAUAUUAUAGUUGAAACAUUUUUAAUAAUUUUUAUUUCAAACUAAGUUUAUUAAUUAAAUAAAAAUUAUAAAAAAUGAAAAUCCCUUGAGGAAGGGGGUAAUUGUAGUUAGACUUAAAACCAUCAUGCAAUUUUUAAAAAUGUCCCAGAAAAUUUUAAGAUUUAAUAAUGUGAAUAACAUCCUUAAAAUUUUUAGUAUUUGGAAACAUAUAACAACAAUUAAUCAUCCACUAGAGGGCAAAGAAAGAGAAGUAAGUAAAGUGUUAUAAUAGACGUAGAUAAUGACAAUUGGAUGAUCGUAAAAUUAGAAAAAUAAGAAUAUAUAGAUUUUACGUGGAAACCCUUUCGAGUAAAAAUUACGGGCAGAGGAGAAAUCACCAAUGUUGAAAAAUGUAUGAUACAAGAAGAGUUUCGAAUACAUCUAUUUAAAGAUUGAAAACCUCUUUUCUAAUCAAUAUCAAAUAAAAUAGAUGUAAUUCUAUACAGAUUCUAUUUGUGCGGCAUGGUCCCCUUAUUCAAACUUUUGACCCUCGACUUUUCGCUCCCACAGAUCAUCUUAUUUUACCAAUAUAUUUUAUUUUUUUAACAAAUGAUGAGAUUCAAUUCACAUACUAUUUAUUGAAGAAGGAGAUAUUAUUUACAUGCUUUAAUUCUUAGAAAUCUCUAUUAAUUAACCUAUAUGGGGAUGAUCACAUGUACCUUUUGUCUCCCCUCCCAACAUGAGGUAACUAUAAAUCCUUCAAUGGCACAGAAUAGCAUGUGCUCACACUCUGCCUUUUCACGUGCAAUCACUUCACAUUUU
RNAcentral lists this long non-coding RNA (5111 nucleotides) under Gossypium barbadense (sea-island cotton). RNAcentral's name for it is "long non-coding RNA (GBAR_LNC015242)". The record is from RNAcentral. Lineage: Eukaryota; Viridiplantae; Streptophyta; Magnoliopsida; Malvales; Malvaceae.